Molecule: ribosomal RNA, 397 nt
Filed under: uncultured bacterium
Lineage: Bacteria
Description: partial 16S ribosomal RNA
Rfam family: Bacterial small subunit ribosomal RNA
Source: RNAcentral
AUACGUAGGGGGCGAGCGUUGUCCGGAAUGAUUGGGCGUAAAGGGCGCGUAGGCGGCGCGGUAAGUCUGGAGUGAAAGUCGUGCUUUCAAGGUGGGAAUUGCUUUGGAUACUGCCGCGCUUGAGUGCAGGAGAGGUUAUCGGAAUUCCCGGUGUAGCGGUGAAAUGCGUAGAGAUCGGGAGGAACACCAGUGGCGAAGGCGGGUAACUGGACUGCAACUGACGCUGAGGCGCGAAAGUGUGGGGAGCAAACAGGAUUAGAUACCCUGGUAGUCCACGCCGUAAACGAUGAGUGCUAAGUGUUGGAGGGUUUCCGCCCUUCAGUGCUGCAGCUAACGCAUUAAGCACUCCGCCUGGGGAGUACGGCCGCAAGGCUGAAACUCAAAUGAAUUGACGGGG